Molecule: ribosomal RNA, 2865 nt
Filed under: Triticum aestivum (bread wheat)
Lineage: Eukaryota; Viridiplantae; Streptophyta; Magnoliopsida; Poales; Poaceae
Description: partial small subunit ribosomal RNA
Source: RNAcentral
GUGACUGCCACUGGCCCCAUAAAAUUGUUGGUCCAUGCGGCAGCGAAGUGCUCGUCGACUCGGUCGGUGACCAAUGAAGACGCCCGUGAAAAAACCUAGAUCGAGCAGUCAAAGGGAUCACGUCCUCCUCGUUCCAUCCACUCCCUCGCCUCCUUCUUCCUCCCCAUCCGGCGGCGCCUCCUUCCUCUUUCCCACGGCCUCCCGCAUCGUGCUGAGCCUCGCCGGCCGCUUCCCCCAGCCGGUGUCCCUCUCCAGAUGCAUCCUCCCCGAGAUUCGGGUACGGAGAGAGUCACGGUGGCAGGGGCAGAUGCGUGAGGACGAGGAGGCCAUGGUCAUGGUGGCGCGACGGAGGUCGUGGCUCGCCCCCCGCCGCCUCUCUCGUGCCCCCCUUUUCCCUACCCCCUCCCCGGCGUCCUUGCCUCUGCCAUGGCCUCCGCCCGAUUCCAGAUCGGCCGCAGGUCGAGGAGCGGUUGCUGUAGUGAGGGCAGCAGCGUGCAGAGGGGGAGAGGUCAAGGACGGUUGCCAGUUCAUGGAGGAGAGAUGCAACACAACGUUGAUUCCUACGCUGAGUUUUAGUGGUGGCAUGGUGUCCAUCUCCAGGUUCAGCAGCGGCAAUCCUCGAGAUAGAUUUAGGCCGAUCUGAAUAAACAGAGAUGAGCAGCAGCAGGGUUGGGUGCUCCAUUUGUAUGCGUUGCAUUGGUUAAUUUUGUUGUGCUCAUGUUUCUGUUUCAUGCUAUUGUCCACGAGUUCUACUUGUUGCUUAUUUCCAAUUAAGUACUUAGUUCCAUAAUGCUCUGGCCAACCUAUUUUAUUGCAACAUUUGUGGUUCUUUUGUGCCAGAUUAGGUGUUUGUAUUUUUUUCCGAGUUCUUAUGGCAUACUUUCUUAAGAUUUUUAUUUGUGACACUUGCAGAAGUGCGGUUCAACAUUAGUUAGUAAUGCCCAGUAAGUUACUAAGGUGUUAUGUAACUGCAAUCCUUGAAAGCAGAGAUGAGAUAUCUAUCCAAUUCUACAUAUAUGGUUUAAAGUUCAUUGCGACAACCUUGCUCAUAUGUUUCGAUUACUACAGAGCAAGGUUGGUUUAAAGUUCAUUCUAAAAUUCUUCUCUUUGUUGUAUCAUUUCUACAUAUAUCCUUUAAAGUUAGAGAAAUUUAGAUGUGAAAUGCCCAGAGUAUUAUGUCACACUUUUAUCAGAUUGCCAAGUUGGUAGCCGCUUUUGCGAUUAUAAAUGUUUUUUUUCAGAGCGGCUGCUACUUCAGUGCCCAACUUUGAAGAAUGUACAUGCAUUUGGAUGCCAAGAUAUGUCGAUUGGUGCAAUUAGAACCCCAGGUGGCUAUGUUGUUGAUGGGGAUUAAUUAUUGUACUACCCGCAAGAAAAUAUUGUACUGACAUAUCUGAGAAUUUUAAUGAUCUAUCUGCAACCAGGUACCUGCCAUUCUCUGAUCCAUAUUCUAGAUGCUUCCAUUGCUACAACAUUCUCAAGCUAUAUUGCAAAGUUUGUUGCUUAUAUAGUUAUUACUAUUGGUCUAUAUGGUGUCGGCUGGAUGUGUGCCACCUGAAAGAUCUCAUUGUUUGUAACCAGGCAAUACAAACAUUCCAUUACUACCAGACAUGUCUUUCUUUGGAAUAUGAGGAGGGAGCUCUGUUGUUGUCAGUGGCUACAUCAUUUCGACCAGUGAUAUGGUUAAUCUUUGCGAUGUGGACCAAUGGCAUGAUCUGUACCUAAGGUUGGAGUUGCUGAAUUAGCUACUUCCUUUUGUGGAUGAUUAAUUAUUUGCAUGAAGGUUCAGAGAAUGGCCUCUAUUGCCUUACAGUCCAACUGAACACGUGAGAAAUUACUGAUGCGCAUGGAUGACAGCUUUCCCACGACGAAGCAAAAUUGCAGGACCUAUUAGGAUGCAUACCUGAAGGAGUGCAUCUACUGGCCCAGCUGAAAAUCGAUCUCUAUUUGGUUUAUGUAUUCUAUUUUUGCUCUCGGUUUUGUCUACCGCUCGUCCUUGGUAUGCUCAUCCAUCUUGCCUGCUUUGCUUGCCUCCUUCUCCUCUCCAAUUCAGGUUCUGCGAUCCCUUGUGUUGCUGCGUCCCGAUCUCCAGCUUUGUUGCAUCUCUGUUCUGCUCCUCGAGGUGCUCAACAGGAGAAGCACUCAAUAGGAGAAGCAGGAGCAGCGGAGCGUUCGCCUCGUUGCAGGUUAAAUGUCAGUGCUUCACAAUGCACUUUAUACUUUGCACGAUCUAACAAUGCAUGCCAGACUUCUGAUAAUUAUACAAUAGGUGCGUGGACAAACAGAUGCCAGGGGCAUUGUUUCACACAACACCUACACCAAUGACCACUGGACAAGUGAAGUAAAGGGACUUGUGAACAACAUGAAAAACUUUCAGCCAUCUUUUGAUUACAUGGAAAUAUGCCUUUGAUGCAUCCGUGUUAUUAUUUACUGACCGACUGUGUUUAGCAACUUCAGUGUGUCGAUCAAAAUUACUACUCCCUCCAUUCGAAAAAGCUUGUCCCACGAAUGAUUGUAUGUAGCAUCAAGUGGUAGAUACAUCCAUUUGAGGAACAAGCUUUUCCGGAUCGAGGGAGUAUAUGAUGUAAUUGACCAAUAUCACUAAGAAGUGCUCCUGGACACAAAAUGCUCUAUAUUAUCAUGUCUUGAAUUUUCUAAUUGCAAACUCAAACAUUUGCAUUUUGUUCUUCAUUUCAGUUGGGCUUUUGUGUCAAUUUUAUCAAUUUCAUACAUUACAAAUGAGAAAAAUAUAUAUUUUUAUACAGAUCCACGACACUUCGCAAAAGAGUGUACAACAACAUCGUCUGCUACCAAAAAAAAGCAAAGUAAUCUCUUUUUAGUUCUUGCUUCAAAUUUUCUCGCGCG